Spinacia oleracea (spinach) is the source of this 2113-nucleotide long non-coding RNA. RefSeq lists it as uncharacterized. The transcript is spliced from 3 exons. Lineage: Eukaryota; Viridiplantae; Streptophyta; Magnoliopsida; Caryophyllales; Amaranthaceae. The record is from RefSeq and is a predicted model, not a curated record.
UCUCUCUCUUCGCAACAUCCUUCUAAUCUUCAAUUUUCUUCACACUUUCACAAAUUUGCCCCAAAAUUAGGUCUAUUUCGUCAAAAUUAAGCGAUAAUUGCACUCUAUUUCUCGCGAAUUCAAAUUUAAUUAAUGUUCUAUUGUAAUUUUCAUCUACAAUUUUAGAGUCCGUCAAAUUUCAUCUGCGACGCGUAAUUGUCACAGUGAUCUGCACAAUCAAGCUCGGAAUCAGAUGCGUGCCGGAGCUCCGGUUUCUUUCGUCGCCGUAAUCAAAUAAGUUACUUAAGUAUUUUCUCGCUCCUCUAUUGAUUUCAGAAUUUACAUGAUUUUCCGCUUUGUAAUUUUUAUAAUUUUGUAAUCGUUUGAACUUUUGUAUGUUGUUUUUCCUAUGCUUUUUCCUCAUUCUUAGUAUGUUAUUCUAUAGUAGUUAAUUGUUUUAAGAUUAUUUUUCCUAUUUUGCAAUUGUUUGAAUUAAAUAAUUUGUACUAUACAAAUUUGACCAGAAACUUAUCUAUAAACUACUGAAAGUAAUACGAAGUAUAAAAAUUCCAAAAAGUAAAAAAAAAAAAAAAAAAACUAUAGCAAUGUCUUUGUAUGUAGCUUUGGUUGGUUCUUGCUGCUUAUUUUCCUCAUGUUUGGAAUGAGAUUUCUGAAUUGUUUAACUCACCAACUUGCCAUGCAUGUGUUGGGAGAUUUUGAUCAAAUUGAGUAGUUGGAUGAAAAACUAGGGGUUUGAAUUUGAUUAGAGGAUAGUUAGGCCACAUGGAAUGACGAAUAGUUAUCCCUCCUCUGCUCAUGCUACCCCUCCUCUACUCAUGCUGCUUGAACAUCAACUGCAUUGAAUUUACCCAAGGUUCCACGCCAACAUGUAGCUAUCCCUCCUCUGCUCAUGCUGCUUGAACAUCAAUUGCAGGAGUCAUUUUUGUCAUUUUAUGAAUAUUGUUCUUGAUGACAACAUGCACUCUAUAAACCUCCCGGGAGCUUUUCCCCCUCACCGGGUUGUUGGUUCAUCCCAUGGCUACGUCAUUUUUGUCAGCUUAACUGGUGAAAUCUUUUGCCUAAACCCGAUUUCCAAGGACUGGAUUGAUUUUCCUUGUCUCUUUGUCUGCCCGACUGUGUGAGGUUAUGAUACAUAUGAACAACAUAAAUCAUGCGGAAAAACCUUAAUGCCAAGAAUCAUAUUAAUUGCACAUAAUCAUAUAAUUAGUCUAGGAUGCAUACACUUUGUAGCGUGCCCUACCUAGCUGGGCCCGAACCGAACAAGAACAAGUCACUACUACAAAAACUAGAAUAAAUAACACAAGAUAGGCAACGGUCAAGUAUAGGCGUCUUCUAUAAUUAUAGAGAACGCCUCCCUUAGAUAACGGUUACAUAAACGACAUAAAAAUAAAACACCUCUCUCUUUAACCGUUAUAUAUUCCUAGCAUAUAUUUUAAUUAACAUUUAUAAAUAAUAACAGAAUGUAUAGAGAACGCCUAAGUAAAUAUGCGUUUCGUGGUGGUGUAGUCGUGUAGGGAGGGUAGUGCCUCAUUUCCACCCAAAAAUAUUUUGAGUGAAUCGUUUCAAGUUUUAACCUAAAUAUUUGGGUUCCCGUCCAAUGCAUGAGCCGUCUAUCAUCAUAUUGAUAAAUACCCACUCUCUGGCGACCUACGAAGCAAGUACGAGUUCAAUCGAUGGUAGUGCAUACAGUUAUGAGAAGGGUCCUAACUCCUAAAUGGGCUGAUUAUAGGUCCAACAUUAUCAUCCCCCCGAUCUGGAUUCUUGCUCCAAAUCGCCUCACCUGAUUUAUUCCAAGCUAGUGAUGGUGAAAAGAUGAGGAAGCUAUCUAUUUAAUCACACUUGUAUUUCAGUUCAAUUAUUAGCUAGGCGAUAUAGGAUGAGAGGAGGAAAACAACCUCUUACGUUCAUUCAGCAUGUUAUAGAUAGAAAGUUUAAUUUCUUCAAUAUAGUACUUGUACAUUUGAGUAUUAAUACAAGAUUCCAAGAUGUGCUUGGAAUUAUAAUUUCAUACGAAGUAUUGAACUUCAACCAGUUAUGCUUUUUUUCAUUAAGAAAUGUACGGAGUGUUUGGAAUAAAAGUGAUAAUAUAUUGGAAAUUUGAAAUACUUUGCAA